This 404-nucleotide ribosomal RNA is filed under the name uncultured bacterium. RNAcentral describes it as "bacterial SSU rRNA". It matches the Rfam family "Bacterial small subunit ribosomal RNA", at positions 430 to 826 of the family's 1533-position model. The record is from RNAcentral.
GCACUUUAAGCAGUGAAGAAGACUCCAUGGUUAAUACCCAUGGACGAUGACAUUAGCUGCAGAAUAAGCACCGGCUAACUCUGUGCCAGCAGCCGCGGUAAUACAGAGGGUGCAAGCGUUAAUCGGAAUUACUGGGCGUAAAGGGAGCGUAGGUGGCUCUAUAAGUCAGAUGUGAAAUCCCCGGGCUUAACCUGGGAACUGCAUCUGAAACUGUAGAGCUAGAGUAUGUGAGAGGAAGGUAGAAUUCCAGGUGUAGCGGUGAAAUGCGUAGAGAUCUGGAGGAAUACCGAUGGCGAAGGCAGCCUUCUGGCAUAAUACUGACACUGAGGCUCGAAAGCGUGGGUAGCAAACAGGAUUAGAUACCCUGGUAGUCCACGCCGUAAACGAUCUCUACUAGUCGUUGG